UUUUGGUACAAAAAAUUAAUUUAGAAUAAUUUAAUUUGUUGGCCGGGAAUGAAAGACCGAUUAAAUUUUUUUUGGAGAGAUAAGUAGCACGUUGCCUGCUUCGUUUAUUUUAUUCAGAAAUAAACUUAGCUGGAAAUAUCAAUCAGCUAGGAUUCGAACUUGAGUCUCAGGUACCAACCACUAAACUCUUUGCCACUUGCUCCAGAAACGGCCGGUAAAGACCAAUUAAUU
RNAcentral lists this long non-coding RNA (231 nucleotides) under Ananas comosus (pineapple). RNAcentral describes it as "long non-coding RNA (ACOM_LNC006155)". Lineage: Eukaryota; Viridiplantae; Streptophyta; Magnoliopsida; Poales; Bromeliaceae. The record is from RNAcentral.